Molecule: ribosomal RNA, 494 nt
Filed under: uncultured bacterium
Lineage: Bacteria
Description: partial 16S ribosomal RNA
Rfam family: Bacterial small subunit ribosomal RNA
Source: RNAcentral
GACGAACGCUGGCGGCGUGCUUAACACAUGCAAGUCGAACGGUGAAGCGCCUUCUUUUUUGGUGGGUGUGGAUGAGUGGCGAACGGGUGAGUAACACGUGAGUAACCUGCCCCCUUCUUCUGUAUAACUGCACGAAGGUGUGUCGAAUACGUGAUAUUCUGGGUCUGUCGCUGGUUGGGGCUGUGAAAGAUAUUGUUUCGGUGGGUGAUGGUGGGGCGGCCGAUUAUCUGGUUGUUGGGGGGGUGGUCUACUACGGCGGUGACGGGUGGCAGGCCUGAUGGGGUGGACGGUCACAAUGGGGCUGAGACGCGGCGGAGCCUCCUACGAGGGGCAGCAGCGGGGAAUAAUGCAGAACGGGGGGAGGAAUGAUGCAGCGACGCCGCGGGAGGGAUGAUGGCCUUCGGGUUGUGAACCUCUUUCGCCAGUGACGAAGGCCUGACUUGUUUGUGGGUGUGUUGACGGUAGCUGGAGAAGAAGCGCCGGCUAACUACGUG